GAGACUUCAUGCCUCAUGGUUCUCCACUCAAUUCAUUAACAACUAGGCCACACUCUUGAGCCCUGCAUCGUAUCGAUAGUGAUUCAGGUAGCAUAUUAGAACAAAUCCCAAUCUUCAAGGUAACAUUGUCUCACAGAGAAACUUGGAAAGCAAUCACAGAGCUUUUAAUGCCUCAAUAACACCCUCUUGACGCUAACAAUUUGCACCUUCAACACUCCAUUACUCGUUCAUCAUAAGGCAGCAGGUAGAGUAACCAUAGGAAGAACUGAUGAUGUCAAAAGAAAAAACCAA
RNAcentral lists this unclassified non-coding RNA (291 nucleotides) under Hevea brasiliensis (rubber tree). The record is from RNAcentral. Lineage: Eukaryota; Viridiplantae; Streptophyta; Magnoliopsida; Malpighiales; Euphorbiaceae.